UUUUAUGGCGGCUCGGGCGGGAGGGCGCGAGCCCUGCCGGUUCUCGCAAGAGGUGUCCGGUCUUCCAACCCGUUCGAGCUGCCGCCCCC
This 89-nucleotide non-coding RNA is filed under the name Variovorax sp. SG517. Lineage: Bacteria; Pseudomonadati; Pseudomonadota; Betaproteobacteria; Burkholderiales; Comamonadaceae. The record is from RNAcentral. RNAcentral also lists the same sequence under 1 other name.